AACGAACGCUGGCGGCAUGCCUAACACAUGCAAGUCGAACGAGACCUUCGGGUCUAGUGGCGCACGGGUGCGUCACGCGUGGGAACCUGCCCUUAGGUUCGGAAUAACUCCCCGAAAGGGGUGCUAAUACCGGAUAAUGUCUUCGGACCAAAGAUUUAUCGCCUUUGGAUGGGCCCGCGUUGGAUUAGCUAGUUGGUAGGGUAAAAGCCUACCAAGGCGACGAUCCAUAGCUGGUCUGAGAGGCUGAUCAGCCACACUGGGACUGAGACACGGCCCAGACUCCUACGGGAUGCAGCAGUGGGGAAUAUUGGACAAUGGGCGAAAGCCUGAUCCAGCAAUGCCGCGAGAGUGAUGAAGGCCUUAGGGUUGUAAAGCUCUUUUACCCGGGAUGAUAAUGACAGUACCGGGAGAAUAAGCCCCGGCUAACUCCGUG
RNAcentral lists this ribosomal RNA (433 nucleotides) under uncultured bacterium. Its description in RNAcentral is "partial 16S ribosomal RNA". It matches the Rfam family "Bacterial small subunit ribosomal RNA", at positions 29 to 507 of the family's 1533-position model. The record is from RNAcentral.